Molecule: small nuclear RNA, 153 nt
Organism: Lepisosteus oculatus (spotted gar)
Lineage: Eukaryota; Metazoa; Chordata; Actinopteri; Semionotiformes; Lepisosteidae
Rfam family: U2 spliceosomal RNA
About the family: U2 is a small nuclear RNA (snRNA) component of the spliceosome (involved in pre-mRNA splicing).
Source: Rfam
UUCGUUUUUAUAUUAAAAAAAAAUCUGUUCUUAUUAGUUUAAUAUCCGAUACGUCCCCCAUCGGGGGACCACAUAUUAAACGGAUUUUUGGAACAGGGAGCUGGAUCAGGAGCUUGCUCCAUCCUCUCCACGCAUCGGCCCGGUAUUNNNNNN